Molecule: ribosomal RNA, 501 nt
Filed under: uncultured bacterium
Lineage: Bacteria
Description: partial 16S ribosomal RNA
Rfam family: Bacterial small subunit ribosomal RNA
Source: RNAcentral
AUUGAACGCUGGCGGCAGGCUUAACACAUGCAAGUCGAGCGGGGGAAGGUAGCUUGCUACCGGACCUAGCGGCGGACGGGUGAGUAAUGCUUAGGAACCUGCCUAUUAGUGGGGGACAACAUCUCGAAAGGGAUGCUAAUACCGCAUACGUCCUACGGGAGAAAGCAGGGGAUCUUCGGACCUUGCGCUAAUCGAUGAGCCUAAGUCGGAUUAGCUAGUUGGUGGGGUAAAGGCCUACCAAGGCGACGAUCUGUAGCGGGUCUGAGAGGAUGAGCCGCAACACUGGGACUGAGACACGGCCCAGACUCCUACGGGAGGCAGCAGUGGGGAAGAUUGGACAAUGGGGGGAACCCUGAUCCAGCCAUGCCGCGUGUGUGAAGAAGGCCUUAUGGUUGCAAAGCACUUUAAGCGAGGAGGAGGCUACUCUAGUUAAUACCUAGGGAUAGUGGACGUUACUCGCAGAAUAAGCACCGGCUAACUCUGUGCCAGCCGCCGUAAUAC